ACACACCCUCGGAUUGACGUGCGCACGCGCACCGGUUACCUUCAGGAGCGCCGAAGAAGGAAAGAAGAUGGAGUUGAGCUCUGUCGCCCAGGCUGGAGUGCAGUGGCACCAUCUCAGCUGACUGUGACCUCC
Molecule: long non-coding RNA, 132 nt
Organism: Homo sapiens (human)
Lineage: Eukaryota; Metazoa; Chordata; Mammalia; Primates; Hominidae
Gene: ERICH2-DT
Product: ERICH2 divergent transcript
Source: Ensembl